Molecule: transfer RNA, 69 nt
Filed under: Marmota monax (woodchuck)
Lineage: Eukaryota; Metazoa; Chordata; Mammalia; Rodentia; Sciuridae
Rfam family: tRNA
About the family: Transfer RNA (tRNA) molecules are approximately 80 nucleotides in length.
Source: Rfam by way of RNAcentral
GGGGUUGUGGCUCAGUGGUAGAGCACUCGCCUAGCAUGUGUGAAGCACCAAGUUCGAUCCUCAGCCCCU